RNAcentral lists this long non-coding RNA (357 nucleotides) under Populus trichocarpa (black cottonwood). RNAcentral describes it as "long non-coding RNA (PTRI_LNC004581)". Lineage: Eukaryota; Viridiplantae; Streptophyta; Magnoliopsida; Malpighiales; Salicaceae. The record is from RNAcentral.
UAGGAACGCUUUCUUUCUUAAACCAUUGGAGGACAUACACCACUGUCUCAGAAGCUAGAAAUUUCUUUAUUAGGUCAGAGAGCUUGUGGUUGAAAUCAGACACUGCACCAGAAGCUAUAAAUUUCUUUAUUUGAUCAAAAGGCAUAUAGGUGAAAUCAGACACUGCACCAGAAGCUAUAAAUUUCUUUAUUAGAUCAAAAGGCAUAUAGGUGAAAUCAGACACUGCACCAGAAGCCAUGAAUUUCUUUAUUAGAUCAAAAGGCGAACGUCUGUAAUCAGACACAGCACCAGAAGCCAUAAAUGUCUUUAUUUGAUCAGAAAGCUUGUGGGUUAAAUCAGACACUGCAUAGGAACCUA